ACCCAGCCAUAAACUUAGAUAGGCCCCUAUACCAUACCAAUCCGCCAGAGAACUACAAGUGAAAACUUCAAACUCUAAGGACUUGACGGUGCCCCACACCCACCUAGAGGAGCCUGUCCCAUAAUCGAUAAUCCGCGUUUAACCUCACCCCCCCUUGUCACAAGCAGCCUGUAUACCGCCGUCGCCAGUCUGCCUAGUGAUAGACCCACAGCAGACAAAACCGUAUCCUACUAACACGUCAGGUCAAGGUGUAGCUAAUGGGGCGGGAAAAGAUGGGCUACAUUUUCUAAACACUAGAAAACUACCAAAAGCUAUAUGAAAUCUAUAGCCACCCGGCGGAUUUAGCAGUAAACAGGGCAAGACACGCCCAAUUGAAGUUUGCCCUGGGGUGCGUACACACCGCCCGUCACCCUCCUCUCUCACCCUCUUCCCCAUAACUAAAACCUAUCACAAACAUAAGAGGAGGUAAGUCGUAACAUGGUAAGCUUACCGGAAGGUAAGCUUGGCCCUCCA
RNAcentral lists this ribosomal RNA (513 nucleotides) under Phyllodactylus lanei (Lane's leaf-toed gecko). RNAcentral describes it as "partial 12S ribosomal RNA". It matches the Rfam family "Bacterial small subunit ribosomal RNA", at positions 794 to 1533 of the family's 1533-position model. Lineage: Eukaryota; Metazoa; Chordata; Lepidosauria; Squamata; Phyllodactylidae. The record is from RNAcentral.